AUUGAACGCUGGCGGCAGGCCUAACACAUGCAAGUCGAGCGGUAGCACAGAGAGCUUGCUCUCGGGUGACGAGCGGCGGACGGGUGAGUAAUGCCUAGGAAUCUGCCUGGUAGUGGGGGACAACGUUUCGAAAGGAACGCUAAUACCGCACACGUCCUACGGGAGAAAGCAGGGGACCUUCGGGCCUUGCGCUAUCAGAUGAGCCUAGGUCGGAUUAGCUAGUAGGUGAGGUAAUGGCUCACCUAGGCGACGAUCCGUAACUGGUCUGAGAGGAUGAUCAGUACACAUGGAAAGGAGACACGGUCCAGAAUCCUACGGGAGGUAGCGGUGGGGAAUAUUGGACAAUGGGCGAAAGCCUGAUCCAGCCAUGCCGCGUGUGUGAAGAAGGUCUUCGGAUUGUAAAGCACUUUAAGUUGGGAGGAAGGGUUGUACGUUAAUACCGUGCAAUUUCGACGUUACCGACAGAAUAAGCACCGGCUAACUCUGUGCCAGCAGCCGCCGUAA
This 504-nucleotide ribosomal RNA is filed under the name uncultured bacterium. RNAcentral's name for it is "partial 16S ribosomal RNA". It matches the Rfam family "Bacterial small subunit ribosomal RNA", at positions 30 to 523 of the family's 1533-position model. The record is from RNAcentral.